GAUGAACGCUGACAGAAUGCUUAACACAUGCAAGUCUACUUGAAUUUGGGUUUUUUAACUUAGAUUUGUGUGUCGGACGGGUGAGUAACGCGUAAAGAACUUGCCUCCCAGCUAGGGACAACAUUUGUAAACGAAUGCUACUACCUGCUAUUAUGAUUAUAAGUCAUCUUAGACUUAUGAUAGCUAUAUUCGCUGUUAGAGAGCUUUGCGUCCCAUUAGCUAGUUGGAGAGGUAACGGCUCACCAAGGCGACGAUGGUUAGCCUGCCUGAGAGGGUGAACGGCCAGAAGGGGACGGAGACACGGACCUUACACAUACGGGAGGGAGCAGUGGGGAAGAAUGGACAAAGGACCAAGAGUAUGAUCAAGCAAUUAUGUGUGGACGAUGACGUUGUUCGGAAUGUAAAGUGCUUUCAGUAGGGAAGAAAAAAAUGACGGUACCAACAGAAGAAGUGACGGCUAAAUACGUG
This 468-nucleotide ribosomal RNA is filed under the name uncultured bacterium. RNAcentral's name for it is "partial 16S ribosomal RNA". It matches the Rfam family "Bacterial small subunit ribosomal RNA", at positions 28 to 507 of the family's 1533-position model. The record is from RNAcentral.